AAUGGCAUCACGAGGGCUUAACUGUCUCCUUUCUCCUGUCAAUGAAAUUGAUCUCCCCGUGCAGAAGCGGGGAUAAUAACAUAAGACGAGAAGACCCUAUGGAGCUUUAGGCUCCAGAACAGACUAUGUAAAACACCCUCAUACAAGAGACAAAACCUAUUAGACCCUGUUCUAAAUGCCUUUGGUUGGGGCGACCGCGGGGAAACACACAACCCCCAUGUGGACUAGGAGCACAACCCUCCCACAACCCAGAGUUACAACUCUAAGUAACAGAAUAUCUGACCAACUAAUGAUCCGGCACAGCCGAUCAACGAACCGAGUUACCCUAGGGAUAACAGCGCAAUCCCCUUUUAGAGUCCAUAUCGACAAGGGGGUUUACGACCUCGAUGUUGGAUCAGGACAUCCUAUUGGUGCAGCCGCUAUUAAGGGUUCGUUUG
Molecule: ribosomal RNA, 437 nt
Filed under: Andinoacara rivulatus (green terror)
Lineage: Eukaryota; Metazoa; Chordata; Actinopteri; Cichliformes; Cichlidae
Description: partial 16S ribosomal RNA
Rfam family: Bacterial large subunit ribosomal RNA
Source: RNAcentral